Molecule: ribosomal RNA, 700 nt
Filed under: uncultured bacterium
Lineage: Bacteria
Description: bacterial SSU rRNA
Rfam family: Bacterial small subunit ribosomal RNA
Source: RNAcentral
ACGCUGGCGGCGUGCCUAAUACAUGCAAGUCGAGCGAGGUCCUUCGGGGCCUAGCGGCGGACGGGUGAGUAACACGUGGGUAACCUGCCUGUAAGACCGGGAUAACUUCGGGAAACCGAAGCUAAUACCGGAUAAUUUCGAGCAUCGCAUGAUGCUUGAUGGAAAGACGGCUUCGGCUGUCACUUACAGAUGGACCCGCGUCGCAUUAGCUAGUUGGUGAGGUAACGGCUCACCAAGGCGACGAUGCGUAGCCGACCUGAGAGGGUGAUCGGCCACACUGGGACUGAGACACGGCCCAGACUCCUACGGGAGGCAGCAGUAGGGAAUCUUCGGCAAUGGGCGAAAGCCUGACCGAGCAACGCCGCGUGAGCGAUGAAGGCCUUCGGGUCGUAAAGCUCUGUUGUUAAGGAAGAACAAGUACGAGAGUAACUGCUCGUACCUUGACGGUACUUAACGAGAAAGCCACGGCUAACUACGUGCCAGCAGCCGCGGUAAUACGUAGGUGGCGAGCGUUAUCCGGAAUUAUUGGGCGUAAAGCGCGCGCAGGCGGUUUCUUAAGUCUGAUGUGAAAGCCCACGGCUCAACCGUGGAGGGUCAUUGGAAACUGGGAAACUUGAGUGCAGAAGAGGAAAGCGGAAUUCCACGUGUAGCGGUGAAAUGCGUAGAGAUGUGGAGGAACACCAGUGGCGAAGGCGGCUUU